Molecule: ribosomal RNA, 2901 nt
Filed under: Shigella flexneri
Lineage: Bacteria; Pseudomonadati; Pseudomonadota; Gammaproteobacteria; Enterobacterales; Enterobacteriaceae
Description: 23S ribosomal RNA
Rfam family: Bacterial large subunit ribosomal RNA
Source: RNAcentral
GGUUAAGCGACUAAGCGUACACGGUGGAUGCCCUGGCAGUCAGAGGCGAUGAAGGACGUGCUAAUCUGCGAUAAGCGUCGGUAAGGUGAUAUGAACCGUUAUAACCGGCGAUUUCCGAAUGGGGAAACCCAGUGUGAUUCGUCACACUAUCAUUAACUGAAUCCAUAGGUUAAUGAGGCGAACCGGGGGAACUGAAACAUCUAAGUACCCCGAGGAAAAGAAAUCAACCGAGAUUCCCCCAGUAGCGGCGAGCGAACGGGGAGCAGCCCAGAGCCUGAAUCAGUGUGUGUGUUAGUGGAAGCGUCUGGAAAGGCGUGCGAUACAGGGUGACAGCCCCGUACACAAAAAUGCACAUACUGUGAGCUCGAUGAGUAGGGCGGGACACGUGGUAUCCUGUCUGAAUAUGGGGGACCAUCCUCCAAGGCUAAAUACUCCUGACUGACCGAUAGUGAACCAGUACCGUGAGGGAAAGGCGAAAAGAACCCCGGCGAGGGGAGUGAAAAAGAACCUGAAACCGUGUACGUACAAGCAGUGGGAGCACGCUUAGGCGUGUGACUGCGUACCUUUUGUAUAAUGGGUCAGCGACUUAUAUUCUGUAGCAAGGUUAACCGAAUAGGGGAGCCGAAGGGAAACCGAGUCUUAACUGGGCGUUAAGUUGCAGGGUAUAGACCCGAAACCCGGUGAUCUAGCCAUGGGCAGGUUGAAGGUUGGGUAACACUAACUGGAGGACCGAACCGACUAAUGUUGAAAAAUUAGCGGAUGACUUGUGGCUGGGGGUGAAAGGCCAAUCAAACCGGGAGAUAGCUGGUUCUCCCCGAAAGCUAUUUAGGUAGCGCCUCGUGAAUUCAUCUCCGGGGGUAGAGCACUGUUUCGGCAAGGGGUCAUCCCGACUUACCAACCCGAUGCAAACUGCGAAUACCGGAGAAUGUUAUCACGGGAGACACACGGCGGGUGCUAACGUCCGUCGUGAAGAGGGAAACAACCCAGACCGCCAGCUAAGGUCCCAAAGUCAUGGUUAAGUGGGAAACGAUGUGGGAAGGCCCAGACAGCCAGGAUGUUGGCUUAGAAGCAGCCAUCAUUUAAAGAAAGCGUAAUAGCUCACUGGUCGAGUCGGCCUGCGCGGAAGAUGUAACGGGGCUAAACCAUGCACCGAAGCUGCGGCAGCGACGCUUAUGCGUUGUUGGGUAGGGGAGCGUUCUGUAAGCCUGUGAAGGUGUGCUGUGAGGUAUGCUGGAGGUAUCAGAAGUGCGAAUGCUGACAUAAGUAACGAUAAAGCGGGUGAAAAGCCCGCUCGCCGGAAGACCAAGGGUUCCUGUCCAACGUUAAUCGGGGCAGGGUGAGUCGACCCCUAAGGCGAGGCCGAAAGGCGUAGUCGAUGGGAAACAGGUUAAUAUUCCUGUACUUGGUGUUACUGCGAAGGGGGGACGGAGAAGGCUAUGUUGGCCGGGCGACGGUUGUCCCGGUUUAAGCGUGUAGGCUGGUUUUCCAGGCAAAUCCGGAAAAUCAAGGCCGAGGCGUGAUGACGAGGCACUACGGUGCUGAAGCAACAAAUGCCCUGCUUCCAGGAAAAGCCUCUAAGCAUCAGGUAACAUCAAAUCGUACCCCAAACCGACACAGGUGGUCAGGUAGAGAAUACCAAGGCGCUUGAGAGAACUCGGGUGAAGGAACUAGGCAAAAUGGUGCCGUAACUUCGGGAGAAGGCACGCUGAUACGUAGGUGAAGCGACUUGCUCGUGGAGCUGAAAUCAGUCGAAGAUACCAGCUGGCUGCAACUGUUUAUUAAAAACACAGCACUGUGCAAACACGAAAGUGGACGUAUACGGUGUGACGCCUGCCCGGUGCCGGAAGGUUAAUUGAUGGGGUUAGCGCAAGCGAAGCUCUUGAUCGAAGCCCCGGUAAACGGCGGCCGUAACUAUAACGGUCCUAAGGUAGCGAAAUUCCUUGUCGGGUAAGUUCCGACCUGCACGAAUGGCGUAAUGAUGGCCAGGCUGUCUCCACCCGAGACUCAGUGAAAUUGAACUCGCUGUGAAGAUGCAGUGUACCCGCGGCAAGACGGAAAGACCCCGUGAACCUUUACUAUAGCUUGACACUGAACAUUGAGCCUUGAUGUGUAGGAUAGGUGGGAGGCUUUGAAGUGUGGACGCCAGUCUGCAUGGAGCCGACCUUGAAAUACCACCCUUUAAUGUUUGAUGUUCUAACGUGGACCCGUGAUCCGGGUUGCGGACAGUGUCUGGUGGGUAGUUUGACUGGGGCGGUCUCCUCCUAAAGAGUAACGGAGGAGCACGAAGGUUGGCUAAUCCUGGUCGGACAUCAGGAGGUUAGUGCAAUGGCAUAAGCCAGCUUGACUGCGAGCGUGACGGCGCGAGCAGGUGCGAAAGCAGGUCAUAGUGAUCCGGUGGUUCUGAAUGGAAGGGCCAUCGCUCAACGGAUAAAAGGUACUCCGGGGAUAACAGGCUGAUACCGCCCAAGAGUUCAUAUCGACGGCGGUGUUUGGCACCUCGAUGUCGGCUCAUCACAUCCUGGGGCUGAAGUAGGUCCCAAGGGUAUGGCUGUUCGCCAUUUAAAGUGGUACGCGAGCUGGGUUUAGAACGUCGUGAGACAGUUCGGUCCCUAUCUGCCGUGGGCGCUGGAGAACUGAGGGGGCUGCUCCUAGUACGAGAGGACCGGAGUGGACGCAUCACUGGUGUUCGGGUUGUCAUGCCAAUGGCACUGCCCGGUAGCUAAAUGCGGAAGAGAUAAGUGCUGAAAGCAUCUAAGCACGAAACUUGCCCCGAGAUGAGUUCUCCCUGACCCUUUAAGGGUCCUGAAGGAACGUUGAAGACGACGACGUUGAUAGGCCGGGUGUGUAAGCGCAGCGAUGCGUUGAGCUAACCGGUACUAAUGAACCGUGAGGCUUAACCUU